This is a small nucleolar RNA of Molossus molossus (Pallas's mastiff bat), 67 nucleotides long. The record is from RefSeq and is a predicted model, not a curated record. NCBI's taxonomy places the organism in Eukaryota, Metazoa, Chordata, Mammalia, Chiroptera, Molossidae.
UUGCCAGUGAUGGUUACGAAUUUCUUCACCUGAAUAAACGAUGUGGUCACGUUGUAUCUGAGGCAAA